UAGAGUUUGAUCCUGGCUCAGGAUGAACGCUAGCUACAGGCUUAACACAUGCAAGUCGAGGGGCAUCAUGGAGUUUGCUUGCAAACUCUGAUGGCGACCGGCGCACGGGUGAGUAACGCGUAUCCAACCUUCCCUAUAGUAGAGGAUAGCCCGGCGAAAGUCGGAUUAAUACUCUAUGUUUUCCGUUGCAGACAUCUAAGAUGGAACAAAGGCUUGCCGCUAUAGGAUGGGGAUGCGUCUGAUUAGGUAGUCGGCGGGGUAACGGCCCACCGAGCCAUCGAUCAGUAGGGGUUCUGAGAGGAAGGUCCCCCACAUUGGAACUGAGACACGGUCCAAACUCCUACGGGAGGCAGCAGUGAGGAAUAUUGGUCAAUGGGCGAGAGCCUGAACCAGCCAAGUAGCGUGCAGGACGACGGCCCUAUGGGUUGUAAACUGCUUUUAUGCGGGGAUAAAGUUCACUACGUGUAGUGUUUUGUAGGUACCGCAUGAAUAAGGACCGGCUAAUUCCGUGCCAGCAGCCGCGGUAAUACGGAAGGUCCGGGCGUUAUCCGGAUUUAUUGGGUUUAAAGGGAGCGCAGGCCGGAGGUCAAGCGUGACGUGAAAUGUAGCCGCUCAACGGCUGAACUGCGUCGCGAACUGGCUUUCUUGAGUGAGUUCGAUGUGGGCGGAAUUCGUGGUGUAGCGGUGAAAUGCUUAGAUAUCACGAAGAACUCCGAUUGCGAAGGCAGCCCACAAGGCCUUUACUGACGCUAAAGCUCGAAAGUGCGGGUAUCGAACAGGAUUAGAUACCCUGGUAGUCCGCACGGUAAACGAUGGAUGCCCGCUGUUUGCGAUAUACUGUGAGCGGCCAAGAAAAAUCCUUAAACAUCCCACCUGGGGAAUCCGCCCGCAACGGUGAAACUCAAAGGAAUUGACGGGGGCCCCACAAGCGGAGGAACAUGGGGUUUAAUUUCAAGAACCCGCAAGGAACCUUACCCG
This 978-nucleotide ribosomal RNA is filed under the name uncultured bacterium. RNAcentral's name for it is "bacterial SSU rRNA". It matches the Rfam family "Bacterial small subunit ribosomal RNA", at positions 1 to 977 of the family's 1533-position model. The record is from RNAcentral.